CCUACGGGUGACAGCAGUGGGGAAUAUUGCACAAUGGGCGAAAGCCUGAUGCAGCGACGCCGCGUGAGUGAAGAAGUAUUUCGGUAUGUAAAGCUCUAUCAGCAGGGAAGAAAUAGCGACCUUUGGGUCGCCAGACGGUACCUGACUAAGAAGCCCCGGCUAACUACGUGCCAGCAGCCGCGGUAAUACGUAGGGGGCAAGCGUUAUCCGGAUUUACUGGGUGUAAAGGGAGCGUAGACGGCAGCACAAGUCUGAAGUGAAAUGCCGGGGCUUAACCCCGGAACUGCUUUGGAAACUGUGCAGCUAGAGUGCAGGGAAGGUAAGUGGAAUUCCUAGUGUAGCGGUGAAAUGCGUAGAUAUUAGGAGGAACACCAGUGGCGAAGGCGGCUUACUGGACUGUAACUGACGUUGAGGCUCGAAAGCGUGGGGAGCAAACAGGAUUAGAUACCCGAGUAGUC
RNAcentral lists this ribosomal RNA (458 nucleotides) under uncultured bacterium. RNAcentral describes it as "partial 16S ribosomal RNA". It matches the Rfam family "Bacterial small subunit ribosomal RNA", at positions 338 to 795 of the family's 1533-position model. The record is from RNAcentral.